Molecule: ribosomal RNA, 802 nt
Filed under: uncultured Pelagibacteraceae bacterium
Lineage: Bacteria; Pseudomonadati; Pseudomonadota; Alphaproteobacteria; Candidatus Pelagibacterales; Candidatus Pelagibacteraceae
Description: bacterial SSU rRNA
Rfam family: Bacterial small subunit ribosomal RNA
Source: RNAcentral
CGCUGGCGGCACGCCUAAUACAUGCAAGUCGAACGAAGUAGCAAUACUUAGUGGCAGACGGGUGAGUAACAUGUGGGUAUCUUCCCUUUGGUGAGGAAUAACACGAGGAAACUUGUGCUAAUACCUCAUAAGUCUUUACGGAGAAAGCUUUAUGCGCCAUUGGAUGAGCCCGCACUUGAUUAGUUUGUUGGUGGGGUAAUGGCCUACCAAGACUUUGAUCAAUAGCUGAUUUGAGAGGAUGAUCAGCCACAUUGGGACUGAGACACGGCCCAAACUCCUACGGGAGGCAGCAGUAGGGAAUCUUGCACAAUGGAGGAAACUCUGAUGCAGCGAUGCCGCGUGAGUGAAGAAGGCCCUUGGGUUGUAAAGCUCUUUCGUCGGGGAAGAAAAUGACUGUACCCGAAUAAGAAGGUCCGGCUAACUUCGUGCCAGCAGCCGCGGUAAUACGAAGGGACCUAGCGUAGUUCGGAAUUACUGGGCUUAAAGAGUUCGUAGGUGGUUAAAAAAGUUGGUGGUGAAAUCCCAGAGCUUAACUCUGGAACUGCCAUCAAAACUUUUUAGCUAGAGUAUGAUAGAGGAAAGCAGAAUUUCUAGUGUAGAGGUGAAAUUCGUAGAUAUUAGAAAGAAUACCGAUUGCGAAGGCAGCUUUCUGGAUCAUUACUGACACUGAGGAACGAAAGCAUGGGUAGCGAAGAGGAUUAGAUACCCUCGUAGUCCAUGCCGUAAACGAUGUGUGUUAGACGUUGGAAAUUUAUUUUCAGUGUCGCAGCGAAAGCAAUAAACACACCGCCUGGGGAGUACG